This 415-nucleotide ribosomal RNA is filed under the name uncultured crenarchaeote. Its description in RNAcentral is "partial 16S ribosomal RNA". It matches the Rfam family "Archaeal small subunit ribosomal RNA", at positions 330 to 747 of the family's 1478-position model. The record is from RNAcentral. Lineage: Archaea; Thermoproteati; Thermoproteota.
GCGCAGCAGUCGCGAAAACUCCGCAAUACGCGAAAGCGUGACGGGGCCAUCCCGAGUGCCGUCCGCUGAGGAUGGCUUUUCCCUAGUGUAGAUAGCUGGGGGAAUAAGGAGAGGGCAAGUCUGGUGUCAGCCGCCGCGGUAAUACCAGCUCUCCGAGUGGUGGGGAUGUUUAUUGGGCCUGAAGCAUCCGUAGCUGGCUGAGCAAGUUCUCCGUUAAAUCCAGCGAUUUAAUCGUUGGACUGCGGAGGAUACUGUUCGGCUAGGGGGCGGGAGAGGCCGACGGUAUUCUCGGGGUAGGGGUGAAAUCCUAUAAUCCCGGGAGGACCUGCAGUGGCGAAGGCGGGUAGCCAGAACGCGCUCGACGGUGAGGGGCGAAAGCUGGGGGAGCGAACCGGAUUAGAUACCCGGGUAGUCC